GAUGAACGCUGGCGGCGUGCCUAAUACAUGCAAGUCGAGCGAACGGACGAGAAUCUUGCCUCUCUGAUGUUAGCGGCGGACGGGUGAGUAACACGUGGAUAACCUACCUAUAAGACUGGGAUAACUUCGGGAACCCUGAGCUAACACCGGAUAAUAUUUUGAACGGCAUGGUUCAUCAGUGCAGGACGGUCUUGCUGUCACUUAUACAUGUAUCCUCGUUGGAUUAGCUAGUUGGUAAGGUAACGGCGUACCAAGGCAACGAUGCGUAGCUGACCUGAGAGGAUGAUCAGUCACACUGGAACUGAGACACGGUCCAGACUCCUACGGGAGGCAGCAGUAGGGAAUCUUCGGCAAUGGGCGAAAGCCUGACGGAGCAACGCCGCGUGAGUGAUGAAGGUCUUCGGAUCGUAAAGCUCUGUUAGUAGGGAAGAACAUAUGUGUAAGUAACUGUGCACAUCUUGACGGUACCUAAACAGAAAGCCACGGCUAACUACGUG
RNAcentral lists this ribosomal RNA (497 nucleotides) under uncultured bacterium. Its description in RNAcentral is "partial 16S ribosomal RNA". It matches the Rfam family "Bacterial small subunit ribosomal RNA", at positions 28 to 507 of the family's 1533-position model. The record is from RNAcentral.